UCAAACUUGAGAGUUUGAUCCUGGCUCAGAACGAACGCUGGCGGCAUGCCUAACACAUGCAAGUCGAACGAGAUCUUCGGAUCUAGUGGCGCACGGGUGCGUAACGCGUGGGAAUCUGCCCUAGGGUGCGGAAUAACUCGGAGAAAUUCGUGCUAAUACCGCAUAAUGUCGUAAGACCAAAGAUUUAUCGCCCUGGGAUGAGCCCGCGUAGGAUUAGCUUGUUGGUGAGGUAAAAGCUCACCAAGGCGACGAUCCUUAGCUGGUCUGAGAGGAUGAUCAGCCACACUGGGACUGAGACACGGCCCAGACUCCUACGGGAGGCAGCAGUA
RNAcentral lists this ribosomal RNA (329 nucleotides) under Sphingomonas sp. RNAcentral's name for it is "bacterial SSU rRNA". It matches the Rfam family "Bacterial small subunit ribosomal RNA", at positions 1 to 356 of the family's 1533-position model. The record is from RNAcentral. Lineage: Bacteria; Pseudomonadati; Pseudomonadota; Alphaproteobacteria; Sphingomonadales; Sphingomonadaceae.